GUUUAAAAUGCCUCACUCGGGUUUCCCAAUAUGAGGUGUAUUCAUCUGGAUUAAGAAUAGUCUGUUAUAUAAACCCGAAGAGAAUCAAAUGAAGUUGAUAAUAUUGUAGUGCUUAGGGACAUUUAAACGGUUUCGUGCUACCAAGAUAGUUAUGGGAAAUACUGGAGGAGGAAGCGGGGGCGGCGAUGAUGGAUCCAUUCAACCUGUACCUUCUAUUGAUGAGGGCGAUGGUGGAAAAAUAAGAACAGGGGACAGGGAUGCUAGUAUGAAGUCCCUACGUGUCAGUCCUUUAUUAAUGGCCGUGCUUCAGGAGGCUCGGAGACAGGCGAAUCUGCUGACUGUACGUGACGAUGAAAGGGUCCCCUUUCUACAGCCACGGUGUUGUUAUACGUAAAGAUAAAAACAAACACUCAAUGGGAUCGUCCAUAAUUUAUUUAAAGAUGCACUGUUACUCCCAAAUAAGAUGUACCAUGUUUAAAACAAUUGUUUUAAUUUACCAAGGAUUAAUAAAUGUCAAAAACAAUAGUUAUUUUGAAGGAUAUUGCGUUUAAUUUGAAAGUAAUGUGCAGAAAACACGGCAUUUCUCCUUAUGAGACGAAAGUAGAUCACAGUAAAUCUUUUAGCAUUCACCAAACAUUUAAUUUUUUGCGUUUUCUGCUAUUAAGUACACGGUUAUAAACUUGUAAUCAGUAAUUAAGAUUUUCCAUAAAUGCAUUAUUUAGUAAGCAGUUGAAGGUUAAUCACUCCAAAUGUAUGCUUUUUAUACAUGUGUAUAUAUUGAUUUUGAAUAAGAAUGUCAUUUAAAUAUAUAUAAGAAUAUAUCAUGUCAAAACUA
Mya arenaria is the source of this 835-nucleotide long non-coding RNA. RefSeq lists it as uncharacterized. The record is from RefSeq and is a predicted model, not a curated record. The transcript has 2 exons. NCBI's taxonomy places the organism in Eukaryota, Metazoa, Mollusca, Bivalvia, Myida, Myidae.